RNAcentral lists this ribosomal RNA (496 nucleotides) under uncultured bacterium. Its description in RNAcentral is "partial 16S ribosomal RNA". It matches the Rfam family "Bacterial small subunit ribosomal RNA", at positions 28 to 507 of the family's 1533-position model. The record is from RNAcentral.
GAUGAACGCUGGCGGCGUGCCUAAUACAUGCAAGUCGAGCGAACAGACGAGGAGCUUGCUCCUCUGACGUUAGCGGCGGACGGGUGAGUAACACGUGGAUAACCUACCUAUAAGACUGGGAUAACUUCGGGAAACCGGAGCUAAUACCGGAUAAUAUAUUGAACCGCAUGGUUCAAUAGUGAAAGACGGUUUUGCUGUCACUUAUAGAUGGAUCCGCGCCGCAUUAGCUAGUUGGUAAGGUAACGGCUUACCAAGGCAACGAUGCGUAGCCGACCUGAGAGGGUGAUCGGCCACACUGGACCUGAGCAACGUUCCAGACUCCUAGGGGAGGCAGCAGCAGGGAAUUUUCCGCAAUGGGCGAAAGCCGGACGGAGCAACGCCGCGUGAGUGAUGAAGGUCUUCGGAUCGUAAAACUCUGUUAUUAGGAAGAACAAAUGUGUAAGUAACUAUGCCCGUCUUGACGGUACCUAAUCAGAAAGCCACGGCUAACUACGUG